RNAcentral lists this small RNA (114 nucleotides) under Onchocerca ochengi. RNAcentral's name for it is "SL1 RNA". It matches the Rfam family "SL1 RNA". The record is from Rfam by way of RNAcentral. Lineage: Eukaryota; Metazoa; Nematoda; Chromadorea; Rhabditida; Onchocercidae.
GGUUUAAUUACCCAAGUUUGAGGUAAGUUUGAGGUAAUUGAAUGUUUCGGUGCAGAGUUUCGGCUGCUGUGGCUUGAAGUAAAAUUUGGAACGUCCUGCCAUCAACGGAACAAC